GACGAACGCUGGCGGCGUGCUUAACACAUGCAAGUCGAACGGUGAAGCGCCUUCCUUUUUGGUGGGUGUGGAUGAGUGGCGAACGGGUGAGUAACACGUGAGUAACCUGCCCCCUUCUUCUGGAUAACCGCAUGAAAGUGUGGCUAAUACGGGAUAUUCUGGGUCUGUCGCAUGAUGGGUCUGGGAAAGAUAUUGUUUCGGUGGGGGAUGGGCUCGCGGCCUAUCAGCUUGUUGGUGGGGUGAUGGCCUACCAAGGCGGUGACGGGUAGCCGGCCUGAGAGGGUGGCCGGUCACACUGGGACUGCGACACGGCCCAGACUCCUACAGGAGGCAGCAGUGGGGAAUAUUGCACAAUGGGCGCAAGCCUGAUGCAGCGACGCCGCGUGAGGGAUGGAGGCCUGCGGGUUGUGAACCUCUUUCGCCAGUGAAGCAGGCCUGCCUCGUUUGUGGGUGGGUUGACGGUAGCUGGAUAAGAAGCGCCGGCUAACUACGUG
Molecule: ribosomal RNA, 494 nt
Filed under: uncultured bacterium
Lineage: Bacteria
Description: partial 16S ribosomal RNA
Rfam family: Bacterial small subunit ribosomal RNA
Source: RNAcentral